GUAAAAAAUUUAUAAGAAUAUGAUGUUGGUUCAGAUUAAGCGCUAAAUAAGGACAUGACACAUGCGAAUCAUACGUUUAUUAUUGAUAAGAUAAUAAAUAUGUGGUGUAAACGUGAGUAAUUUUAUUAGGAAUUAAUGAACUAUAGAAUAAGCUAAAUACUUAAUAUAUUAUUAUAUAAAAAUAAUUUAUAUAAUAAAAAGGAUAUAUAUAUAAUAUAUAUUUAUCUAUAGUCAAGCCAAUAAUGGUUUAGGUAGUAGGUUUAUUAAGAGUUAAACCUAGCCAACGAUCCAUAAUCGAUAAUGAAAGUUAGAACGAUCACGUUGACUCUGAAAUAUAGUCAAUAUCUAUAAGAUACAGCAGUGAGGAAUAUUGGACAAUGAUCGAAAGAUUGAUCCAGUUACUUAUUAGGAUGAUAUAUAAAAAUAUUUUUAUUUUAUUUAGUUCCGGGGCCCGGCCACGGGAGCCGGAACCCCGAAAGGAGAAAUAUUUAAUAUUUAUAAUAAUAAUAAUAAUAAUAUAUAUAUAUAAAUUGAUUAAAAAUAAAAUCCAUAAAUAAUUAAAAUAAUGAUAUUAAUUACCAUAUAUAUUUUUAUAUGGAUAUAUAUAUUAAUAAUAAUAUUAAUUUUAUUAUUAUUAAUAAUAUAUUUUAAUAGUCCUGACUAAUAUUUGUGCCAGCAGUCGCGGUAACACAAAGAGGGCGAGCGUUAAUCAUAAUGGUUUAAAGGAUCCGUAGAAUGAAUUAUAUAUUAUAAUUUAGAGUUAAUAAAAUUAAUUAAAGAAUUAUAAUAGUAAAGAUGAAAUAAUAAUAAUAAUUAUAAGACUAAUAUAUGUGAAAAUAUUAAUUAAAUAUUAACUGACAUUGAGGGAUUAAAACUAGAGUAGCGAAACGGAUUCGAUACCCGUGUAGUUCUAGUAGUAAACUAUGAAUACAAUUAUUUAUAAUAUAUAUUAUAUAUAAAUAAUAAAUGAAAAUGAAAGUAUUCCACCUGAAGAGUACGUUAGCAAUAAUGAAACUCAAAACAAUAGACGGUUACAGACUUAAGCAGUGGAGCAUGUUAUUUAAUUCGAUAAUCCACGACUAACCUUACCAUAUUUUGAAUAUUAUAAUAAUUAUUAUAAUUAUUAUAUUACAGGCGUUACAUUGUUGUCUUUAGUUCGUGCUGCAAAGUUUUAGAUUAAGUUCAUAAACGAACAAAACUCCAUAUAUAUAAUUUUAAUUAUAUAUAAUUUUAUAUUAUUUAUUAAUAUAAAGAAAGGAAUUAAGACAAAUCAUAAUGAUCCUUAUAAUAUGGGUAAUAGACGUGCUAUAAUAAAAUGAUAAUAAAAUUAUAUAAAAUAUAUUUAAUUAUAUUUAAUUAAUAAUAUAAAACAUUUUAAUUUUUAAUAUAUUUUUUUAUUAUAUAUUAAUAUGAAUUAUAAUCUGAAAUUCGAUUAUAUGAAAAAAGAAUUGCUAGUAAUACGUAAAUUAGUAUGUUACGGUGAAUAUUCUAACUGUUUCGCACUAAUCACUCAUCACGCGUUGAAACAUAUUAUUAUCUUAUUAUUUAUAUAAUAUUUUUUAAUAAAUAUUAAUAAUUAUUAAUUUAUAUUUAUUUAUAUCAGAAAUAAUAUGAAUUAAUGCGAAGUUGAAAUACAGUUACCGUAGGGGAACCUGCGGUGGGCUUAUAAAUAUCUUAAAUAUUCUUACA
This 1689-nucleotide non-coding RNA is filed under the name Saccharomyces cerevisiae YJM1419. Its description in RNAcentral is "15S ribosomal RNA". It matches the Rfam family "Bacterial small subunit ribosomal RNA". The record is from RNAcentral. Lineage: Eukaryota; Fungi; Ascomycota; Saccharomycetes; Saccharomycetales; Saccharomycetaceae.